AUGACUGCAGAGAAUUAUUAUAUACCGUUACAUAUCUUAAAAGAGAUUACAAAUGGAUUCUCAGCGGACUCAAGAAUAGGAAGGGGUGGGUAUGGAGACGUUUACAAGGGAGUUUACAAUAGGAGAGAGAUUGCUGUGAAGUUGCUUCAUGUUGAUACGGUGCUAGGACUUGAUGACCAACAAUAUAUCAAUGAAGUUGGUAACCUUUUGAAGGUUAAGCAUCCAAAUAUCGUACAGUUACUUGGCUAUUGUUAUGAAAUACAGAAUGAACUAAUUGAACACAAUGGUGCAAAUCAAUUUAGCCAACACAUAUAUAGUCCUCUGCUUUGA
RNAcentral lists this ribosomal RNA (330 nucleotides) under Triticum aestivum (bread wheat). RNAcentral's name for it is "partial small subunit ribosomal RNA". The record is from RNAcentral. Lineage: Eukaryota; Viridiplantae; Streptophyta; Magnoliopsida; Poales; Poaceae.